This 1577-nucleotide long non-coding RNA is filed under the name Amborella trichopoda. Its description in RNAcentral is "long non-coding RNA (ATRI_LNC003754)". Lineage: Eukaryota; Viridiplantae; Streptophyta; Magnoliopsida; Amborellales; Amborellaceae. The record is from RNAcentral.
AUUCUGGAGAGUUGGGGGAAGAGGUAGAGUAUUGGGGAGAAGAGGGAGAGUAUUCUGGAGAGUUAGGAGAAAGAGAGUACUGGGGAGAAGGAGGGGAAGAGGGAUAGUGAGAAAAAGGUGGGGAAGAGGGAUAGAAGUGUGGAGAGUUUGGGAAAGAGGGAGAGUAUUGGGGAGAAGAGGGAAAGUAUUCUGGAGAGUUGGGGGAAGAGGGAGAGUAUUGGGGAGAAGAGGGAGAGUAUUCUAGAGAGUUAGGAGAAAGAGAGUACUGGGGGAAGGAGGGGAAGAGGGGGAGUAAUAUGGACAGUUUGGGGAAGGAGGGGAAGAGGGAGAGUAAUGUGCAGAGUUUGGGGAAGAGGGAGUGUAGUGUGGAGAGUUUUGGUAAGAUGGGAUUUCAGAGGACUUCCUUUUUCUUUGUUUCUGCCUUCUUAUUUGUCUCUGCCCAGUAGAUCUCAUUUCCUUCCUUUUUCUCGAGUUUGGUCUCUCUAGAAAAUCUCCCAUCUCAUUUUCUUUUCUCACAAUCUGCACAAUAUAAUGAAAAGAGUAAAUCAAAGUGAUCCUUUUCUCACAAUCUGCACAAUAUAAUGAAAAGAGUAAAUCAAAGUGAUCCUUUUCUCACAAUCUGCACAAUAUAAUGAAAAGAGUAAAUCGAAGUGAAAUUAAACAGAUUGAGGUCUAAGAAAUUAAAUAAUUAAUAAAAUAGAAAAAUAAGGAAAAAUUGGGAAAAUAUAGAAAAAGUAGGAAAUAGUAGAAACAAAUAUAACUCUUGAAACAAUAAAUAAAUACUCAUUAAGAGUAUUUGUAAAGAACACAUAAAUACUCAUUAACAAUAUCAUAACUCAAUUUCAAUUUUUCUUUAUUUUCUUAUUUUUCCUGAUUUUAUUUAGGAUUCACUUUUAAGCCAUUGCAAAUUACAACAUUAAAAGCUAAAACUAUAUAAGUAUAUAAAAGAAAACAGAAGAAUAAAAAGAAAAACAGAAAGUUUUCUCUAUUUUUUCCUUUUUUUUAUUUCCGUUUUAUUUCUCAUUUUUUUUGCUGGUUUAUUAAUGUCCUUUACAAAACAUAAACUAAAACAGAAAUUGCAAUUUCAAUUUCUCCUUAUUUCAUUGUUUGGAUUUUAUUUAGGAUUCAUCGUUUAAGCCCUCAUAAAUUUUAAUAUCAAAAGUUAAAACUAAUAUAUUAAAAAAAACCAAAAAGAUAGGGUUUGUUCAAAUACUUAUAUUUUCAGGUAGUAAUUUGAGAGGUUUUUACAAAUUGUAAACCCUUCUUUAAUAACCUAAAAUUGAAACCCAAAAGAAAAAAAAACAAUACAAAACUAUAAAAACCCUAAUUCUUGACCUAAACCUAAAUUGGAAACAAAUGUUUCCUUAUUUUCCUAUUUUCUAAACCUAAAGCACUAAAUAUUAAAUACCACUGAAUAUUUAAAUAAAAAACUCACCUGGGACUGUUGAAGCUGGCCGCCGUAACCAGCAGAAACUUGCCGAAGGAGCUUCUGGCUUUUCUUGAUUUUUGAAUCAUGAGAAAAGAAAGAGGAACGACAAGGCUUCCUUUUCUCUGUCUUAUUUAAACGGAAAAGUUUU